Molecule: long non-coding RNA, 330 nt
Organism: Lagenorhynchus albirostris (white-beaked dolphin)
Lineage: Eukaryota; Metazoa; Chordata; Mammalia; Artiodactyla; Delphinidae
Exons: 3
Source: RefSeq, a predicted model, not a curated record
CUGGCAUCUUAAGUGGCCACCUGAAGAGCUGGAUGACACAGUCCAGAAGUCUGGUGUGCUAAUUCCCAUGGAACAAACUUUGAUCACUGGGAAACUGAAGAUGGGAGGGAGAAAAUGCUUCAUGGUUCCAGCAUUUGUUUGAGGAUCUAUGUCACAUCUCACAUCAAUUUUUGUUCAUGGAGUGAGGCCAUGAAAGAAAGAUGAAGAAGAUCCUUGGGCCUGUACAAAUUUGGGAAAAAGAGUCACCCUAUUAGUCAGUAAGUUUUGUUUGUUUGAUUCUGUUUAAUCCUGAAUCUGAGGACUAAUCUUAGAGUAAGGCAAAACAGAAAG